AUGAUCACCGAGGAGGAGAGAGAGAUAUUGGAAAAACCCUUUUCUGAGGAGGAGAUUAAAAAGGCAAUUAUGAGUUCUUAUGUUGGAGGAGCUCUUGGCCUUGAUGGCCUAUCAUUUAUUUUUUAUCAAACCUUUUGGGAGUUAAUUAAAGAUGACUUUAUGUGGUUAGUGAAAGAUUUUGAAAAUGGCAAUCUGGAUGUCUCCAGAUUAAACUUUGCUAUUAUUACCCUGAUUCCUAAGGUUAAUAAUGCUAAAGAUAUGAAUUUUUUUAGACCUAUCAGCCUUGGAAACUGUUCUGUUAAGAUUUUUUCAAAAGCUAUGAUACUAGGCUUCCCCUAUAUGUGA
RNAcentral lists this ribosomal RNA (345 nucleotides) under Triticum aestivum (bread wheat). RNAcentral describes it as "partial small subunit ribosomal RNA". The record is from RNAcentral. Lineage: Eukaryota; Viridiplantae; Streptophyta; Magnoliopsida; Poales; Poaceae.